GCCGGCGUAGCUCAGUUGGUUAGAGCGCAACACUCAUAAAGUUGAGGUCCCAAGUUCGAUCCUUGGCGCCGGCACCA
This 77-nucleotide transfer RNA is filed under the name Candidatus Sungbacteria bacterium RIFCSPHIGHO2_02_FULL_47_11. RNAcentral describes it as "tRNA-Met". It matches the Rfam family "tRNA". Rfam says of the family: Transfer RNA (tRNA) molecules are approximately 80 nucleotides in length. Their secondary structure includes four short double-helical elements and three loops (D, anti-codon, and T loops). Further hydrogen bonds mediate the characteristic L-shaped molecular structure. tRNAs have two regions of fundamental functional importance: the anti-codon, which is responsible for specific mRNA codon recognition, and the 3' end, to which the tRNAs corresponding amino acid is attached (by aminoacyl-tRNA synthetases). tRNAs cope with the degeneracy of the genetic code in two manners: having more than one tRNA (with a specific anti-codon) for a particular amino acid; and 'wobble' base-pairing, i.e. permitting non-standard base-pairing at the 3rd anti-codon position. Lineage: Bacteria; Candidatus Sungiibacteriota. The record is from RNAcentral.